GAUGAAGAACGCAGCGAAAUGCGAUAAGUAAUGUGAAUUGCAGAAUUCAGUGAAUCAUCGAAUCUUUGAACGCACAUUGCGCCCGCCAGUAUUCUGGCGGGCAUGCCUGUCCGAGCGUCAUUUCAACCCUCGAACCCCUCCGGGGGGUCGGCGUUGGGGAUCGGCACUUACCUGCCGGCCCCGAAAUACAGUGGCGGUCUCGCCGCAGCCUCUCCUGCGCAGUAGUUUGCACACUCGCACCGGGAGCGCGGCGCGUCCACGGCCGUAAAACAACCCAAACUUCUGAAAUGUUGACCUCGGAUCAGGUAGGAAUACCCGCUGAACUUAAGCAUAUCAAUAAGCGGAGG
This 347-nucleotide unclassified non-coding RNA is filed under the name soil metagenome. RNAcentral describes it as "partial contains 5.8S ribosomal RNA, internal transcribed spacer 2, and large subunit ribosomal RNA". The stretch from base 1 to 120 matches the Rfam family "5.8S ribosomal RNA", at positions 35 to 154 of the family's 154-position model. The record is from RNAcentral.